GGCCUUUUGAGUUUUAUAUAAGGUCGUACCUGCCCAUUGAUUAAUAAUAUUAAAAGGCUGCGGUAUUUUAACUGUACGAAGGUAGCAUAAUCAUUUGUCUUUUAAUUGAAGGCUAGUAUGAAUGGUUUGAUGAAAUAUAAUCUUUCUUUUAAUUAUUUAUUUGAAUUUAAUUUUUUAGUUAAAAAGCUAAAAUGUCUUUAUAGGACGAGAAGACCCUAUAGAAGUUUACUAAUUUUAUAAAAUUAUAUAUUUUGAUUUUAAAUUAUUUUUUUAAAAAAAUGAGUUUUAUUGGGGUGAUAUUAAAAUUAAAUAAACUUUUAAUUUUGUUUUUCAUUGAUUUAUGUUUUUUUGAUCCAAAAUUUUUGAUUAUAAGAUUGACUUACCUUAGGGAUAACAGCGUAAUUUAUUUGGAGAGUUCUUAUCGAUAAAUAAGUUUGCGA
Molecule: ribosomal RNA, 440 nt
Filed under: Metrocoris strictus
Lineage: Eukaryota; Metazoa; Arthropoda; Insecta; Hemiptera; Gerridae
Also listed under: 1 other name
Description: partial large subunit ribosomal RNA
Source: RNAcentral